GACGAACGCUGGCGGCGUGCCUAAUACAUGCAAGUCGAACGCUUCUUUCCUCCCGAGUGCUUGCACUCAAUUGGAAAGAGGAGUGGCGGACGGGUGAGUAACACGUGGGUAACCUACCCAUCAGAAGGGGAUAACACUUGGAAACAGGUGCUAAUACCGCAUAACAGUUUAUGCCGCAUGGCAUAAGAGUGAAAGGCGCUUUCGGGUGUCGCUGAUGGAUGGACCCGCGGUGCAUUAGCUAGUUGGUGAGGUAACGGCUCACCAAGGCCACGAUGCAUAGCCGACCUGAGAGGGUGAUCGGCCACACUGGGACUGAGACACGGCCCAGACUCCUACGGGAGGCAGCAGUAGGGAAUCUUCGGCAAUGGACGAAAGUCUGACCGAGCAACGCCGCGUGAGUGAAGAAGGUUUUCGGAUCGUAAAACUCUGUUGUUAGAGAAGAACAAGGACGUUAGUAACUGAACGUCCCCUGACGGUAUCUAACCAGAAAGCCACGGCUAACUACGUG
Molecule: ribosomal RNA, 508 nt
Filed under: uncultured bacterium
Lineage: Bacteria
Description: partial 16S ribosomal RNA
Rfam family: Bacterial small subunit ribosomal RNA
Source: RNAcentral